UCCCAGGGCCUGAUUGGUUCAGUACCAAGUGAAGUCAUAGUUACUGUGGUGACUCACAAUUGCCCUCAGAACCUAGUGCAGAUUCAAACACUGGCCAUCAUCCCUGGCUUUCUUCUGGUUCAAGCCUGAAUAAGGUCUCUCUUCUGUGCUAUCUUCCUGAAGCCAUCUGUGGAGUCAAGCAGUCAUGGCUCAGGCACAUUCUGAAGUUGGUCCCAGCACAUCUGCACAGAGCAUCAGGAGAAAGGCGGACGAAUACUUGAGACCCAGCCUGGCCUCUAAAUCUGUGCUGAGCGUUUUACUCAGUAGACAGCUUGGGAAUCAUAGAAACGAUGUGGAUCUGACAGAGUGGCUGUGGACACUGACACAAACCACACCAGGGUGGACCUGGCCUUUGCCAACACGCCAUACAAUCAACCCACCUUUGCACCCUGGGGAGGAUGGAAAAUCCAAGAAAAUGGUGUGGAUCAAUAAAUCCUUCCCCUGAUGCAACCAUUACAAAUGGAUGUUGUGUUCUCGCUGCUUUUGGCUGUAUAUGGUCUUUGAUCACCUAGUUUCUUGACUUCUGACCAGUCUCUGUGUUACCCGAGGCCACAGCAGAUGAACUUUACCUACUGCCCCCUGAGAAGGUGUUUACUAACGUUGUAGACUCUGGGGGUGUUGGAGCCACGAGGGGCCCUGUUUCGAGAAGGUGGAAGGGCAGCUGAGUGGACACGUGGAGAGGCCCUGCAACCCUAAAUUUCUAGGGGGAGGGGCCUUUAAGGAGCCCGCUUGGAAGUCUUGGUUUGUCUCCCUUGAAGUUUGGGGGAGAGCGUGGGUAAAAAUUGAAAUCAAAUAAAUUUAAAAUG
This is a long non-coding RNA of Rhinopithecus roxellana (golden snub-nosed monkey), 845 nucleotides long. RefSeq lists it as uncharacterized. NCBI's taxonomy places the organism in Eukaryota, Metazoa, Chordata, Mammalia, Primates, Cercopithecidae. The record is from RefSeq and is a predicted model, not a curated record. The transcript has 2 exons.